This is a long non-coding RNA of Macaca fascicularis (crab-eating macaque), 1681 nucleotides long. NCBI's taxonomy places the organism in Eukaryota, Metazoa, Chordata, Mammalia, Primates, Cercopithecidae. The record is from Ensembl.
UUUUUUUUUUUUUUUUUUUUUAAAUUCAGGGAAACGUGCAGAAUGUGCAGUUUUGUUACACAGAUAUACAUAUGCCAUGGUGGCUUGCUGCACCCCUUAACCCAUCCUCUAGGUUUUUUUUUUUUUGUUUGUUUUUGAAAGAGUCUCACUCUGUCGCCCAGGCUAGAGUACAGUGGCACCAUCUCGGCUCACUGCAAGCUCCACCUCCUGGAUUCAUGCCAUUCUCUCACCUCAGCCUCCGGAGUAGCUGGGACUACAGGCGCCGGCCACCAUGCCCAGUUAAUUUGUUUUUUGUAUUUUUAGUAGAGACGGGUUUCACCACGUUGGUCAGGCUGGUCUCGAACUCCUGAUCUCGUGAUCCGCUCACCUCGGCCUCCCAAAGUGCUGGGAUUACAGGCAUGAAUCACUGUGCCUGGCCUUUUUGUUUUUGAGGAGUCUCGCUCUGUUGCCCAGGCUGGAGUGCAGUGACAUGAUCUUGGCUCACUGCAACUUCCAUCUCCAGAAUUCAAAUGAUUCUCCUUCCUCAGCCUCCUAAAUAGCUGGGAUUACAGGCGUGCGCCACCACACCCAGCUAACUUUUUAUAUUUUUGGUAGAGAUGGGGUUUCACCAUGUUGGCAAGGUUGGUCUUGAACUCCUGACCUCAAGUCAUCUGCCCACCUCGGCCUCAUGAAGUACUGGGAUUACAGGUGUGAGCCACUGUUCCUGGCCUUUUUUUUUUGAGACAGAGUCUGGCUCUGUCACUCAGGCUGGAGUGCAGUGGCAUGAUCUUGGCUCACUGCAACCUCUGCUUCCUGAGUUCAAGCAAUCCUCAUGCCUCAGCCUCCCUAGUAGCUUGGAUCACAGAUGCACACCACCAGGCUAGGCUAAUGUUUGUAUUGUUACAGAGACGGGGUUUCACCAUGUUGGCCUGGAUGGUCUUGAACUCCUGACCUCAAGUGAUCCGCCCUUCUCGGCCUCCCAAAGUGCUGGGAUUACAAGCAUGCGCCACCAUGUCUGGCCUCCUCAUAACAUUUUUAACAGCAGUUAUAAUAAAUCUGAAUGCACACCAUGUAAUGCCUAUGGAACUAAUAACUCAUCUUCUAUUGUGCAGUGCUACUAGUCACAUAUAUAGAUGUUUUUGUGAUUCUCAAAUACACAAACCCACCUAAAAGCAUCAUAUAUCCAGAUAUUCACUGCAGCCUGAAUAGCAGAUUGGGAACAACUUAAACAUUAGUCAGUAGGUGACCAGUUAGUUGUGUCAUUCUUUUUGAGACAGGGUCAGCUCUGUCGCCCAGGCUGAAGUGCAGUGGCAAGAUCAUAGCUGACUGCAACCUCCGCCUCCCAGAUUCCAGUGAUCCUCCCACCUCAGCCUCCCAAGUAGCUGGGAUCACAGACGUGCAGCACCACACCUGGCUAAUUUUUGUAUAUUUUGUAUAGAUGGAGUCUCGCUAUGUUGCCUCGACUGAUCUUGAACUCUCAGGCAUAAGUGAUGCCCCCGCCUCAGCCUCCGAAAGUGCCGGGAUUACAGGCGUGAGCCACUGAGCCCUGGCCCCUAGUUGUGUCAUUCUUACAAAGAACAUCACGCAGCUGUUACCGAGGACUUCCCAUUAGUCUUGAUAUAGCACAAUCUCCAAGACACUUAAAGUAUAACACACCCUACAGUGUGUAUUAUGAAUUGCCAUUUGUGUGAGGAAAUGAUUA